RNAcentral lists this transfer RNA (123 nucleotides) under Pseudogymnoascus sp. VKM F-4515 (FW-2607). It matches the Rfam family "tRNA". Rfam says of the family: Transfer RNA (tRNA) molecules are approximately 80 nucleotides in length. RNAcentral also lists the same sequence under 1 other name. The record is from Rfam by way of RNAcentral. Lineage: Eukaryota; Fungi; Ascomycota; Leotiomycetes; Thelebolales; Thelebolaceae.
GGACAGAUGGCCGAGCUGGUUAUGGCGCCAGGUUAAGGUUAUACCUUAAUGCAUGUGAUCUUCUGAUCAUAUAUAUGUUUCCUGGUCACGAAAGUGGCGUGGGUUCGAGUCCCACUCUGUUCA